UUCCCAUCUUUCCUACCUUCCUUCCUUUACUUUUACUUUUUUUUUUUUUUUUUACAUAAAGGGCUUGUAAGGAAAAUCUUUUCCUUUUCGUACCUAUCUUGGAUAAGUGUCAAAAAUGCCAAGAAACGAAAAGAAUAAGAAAUAAAGAGAGUGGCAGCAGAGGUAAGUGUGCAAAGUUUCAACAAGAAAGAGCAACUUUAGCAGCUGUGAUGGAUGUAAAUUGGACCAACUUCUCAGGCUUGACAUAUUUCUUGUAUUGCAGAUCUCUACAAUGUGCCUUGCCGACAUUUCUGAGAGCCUGCAUGUAGGAUGGGACCUUUUAGAUGCUCAUGAGCAAGACUGCUUUUGCCACUACAGAUUUUCUCCUGCACAGAAGGUCUUCAUCUCCUAUGCAAAUUACUCGAAGGGAGUCCCUCCCACCAGUUCUCCUAAGGGUGGGUAGCCAGUAUUGUCACCAUGGGAGUAGCCUCGUCUCAUCUCCUACCAAACCUUUUCACUUCAUGUCACUGGUGAUUGACGUUAUGCAGAAUAACUACACAGAGGUCGGGCAGGCACACAGGUGAAACUAACGAAGAUCCCAGGCUAUCAAAGAAUCUGAUUCAGACACUACUAAGAUGAGCAAAUAUGUGAUGGAGAGGUGGGAAAGAUAGGAAAAUGGAGUGGUGCAUAUACCAUGGAGAGAGGUGGAAAUGGAGAAACCAUGGCAGAGACAGGCUGAGGUUGACAGUGGAUCCAUGGUGAAUACCACCGCCUGAAGCCAUGUUGAUGCCCAUAGGCCAUGCUGCUGCUGGGGACCAUACUGAUGUGAGUGGCCUGAGGCCAUGGUGAUAUCUUUGGUCCAGAAAGCUUCCAAGGGCCUUGUCUGGGCCUUUGGUCCUAUUGCA
Non-coding RNA from Peromyscus maniculatus bairdii (prairie deer mouse), 884 nucleotides. Lineage: Eukaryota; Metazoa; Chordata; Mammalia; Rodentia; Cricetidae. The record is from RefSeq and is a predicted model, not a curated record.